GAAAACUCCGGUGGUAAAAGAUGGGCAUGCGUUGUAUUAGCUAGUUGGUGAGGUAACGGCUCACCAAGGCGACGAUACAUAGGGGGACUGAGAGGUUAACCCCCCACAUUGGUACUGAGACACGGACCAAACUCCUACGGGAGGCAGCAGUGAGGAAUAUUGGUCAAUGGACGCAAGUCUGAACCAGCCAUGCCGCGUGCAGGAAGACGGCUCUAUGAGUUGUAAACUGCUUUUGUACGAGGGUAAAUGCAGGUACGUGUAUCUGUUUGAAAGUAUCGUACGAAUAAGGAUCGGCUAACUCCGUGCCAGCAGCCGCGGUAAUACGGAGGAUCCAAGCGUUAUCCGGAUUUAUUGGGUUUAAAGGGUGCGUAGGCGGUUUUAUAAGUUAGAGGUGAAAUCUCGGGGCUCAACUCCGAAAUUGCCUCUAAUACUGUAGGACUAGAGAGUAGUUGCGGUAGGCGGAAUGUAUGGUGUAGCGGUGAAAUGCUUAGAGAUCAUACAGAACACCGAUUGCGAAGGCAGCUUACCAAACUAUAUCUGACGUUGAGGCACGAAAGCGUGGGGAGCAAACAGGAUUAGAUACCCUGGUAGUCCACGCAGUAAACGAUGAUAACUCGUUGUCGGCGAUACACA
RNAcentral lists this ribosomal RNA (633 nucleotides) under uncultured bacterium. RNAcentral describes it as "bacterial SSU rRNA". It matches the Rfam family "Bacterial small subunit ribosomal RNA", at positions 202 to 835 of the family's 1533-position model. The record is from RNAcentral.